UGGGGAAUAUUGGACAAUGGGCGCAAGCCUGAUCCAGCCAUGCCGCGUGAGUGAUGAAGGCCUUAGGGUUGUAAAGCUCUUUCGCCGGUGAAGAUAAUGACGGUAACCGGAGAAGAAGCCCCGGCUAACUUCGUGCCAGCAGCCGCGGUAAUACGAAGGGGGCUAGCGUUGCUCGGAAUCACUGGGCGUAAAGCGCACGUAGGCGGAUCGUUAAGUCAGGGGUGAAAUCCUGGAGCUCAACUCCAGAACUGCCCUUGAUACUGGCGAUCUCGAGUUCGAGAGAGGUUGGUGGAACUCCGAGUGUAGAGGUGAAAUUCGUAGAUAUUCGGAAGAACACCAGUGGCGAAGGCGGCCAACUGGCUCGAUACUGACGCUGAGGUGCGAAAGCGUGGGGAGCAAAACAGGAUUAGAUACCCUGGUAGUCCACGCCGUAAAACGAUGGAUGCUAGCCGUUGGGGGGUUUACCUCUCAGUGGCGCAGCUAACGCCUUAAGCAUCCCGCCUGGGGAGUACGGUCGCAAGAUUAAAAACUCAAAGGAAUUGACGGGGUCAAGCUGUUUCCUG
This 563-nucleotide ribosomal RNA is filed under the name uncultured bacterium. Its description in RNAcentral is "partial 16S ribosomal RNA". It matches the Rfam family "Bacterial small subunit ribosomal RNA", at positions 355 to 939 of the family's 1533-position model. The record is from RNAcentral.